Molecule: long non-coding RNA, 785 nt
Organism: Limulus polyphemus (Atlantic horseshoe crab)
Lineage: Eukaryota; Metazoa; Arthropoda; Merostomata; Xiphosura; Limulidae
Exons: 3
Source: RefSeq, a predicted model, not a curated record
CUCAAAUCUUUUUCUCUCCAUUUUUCUUAUCAGAUUUUACCUCCUCUGCCUGCAAAAUUAUAGAGACGUCCUUUCAGUGGCUGAGGAGACGACACCGGUAUGUUUCAGCUAGUGAAGGCUAUAAGAGCUUGACCGUUUACGCGGUGAUGCAAUUGCAGGACAAAGAAACAAAGGUUUUUAUAGAGCUUUAAUUUGGAGCAGUUCUAUAUGGCUUUCAUCAUAACUGGGGAGAUUCAUCUCGAGUGAAGAUCUAGUAGAGGAGAUCGUCUAAUUGUCCAACCGGUCUCAAGGGUCCUAGUAUCGAGGGAAAGUCCUCGUCGGCAAUAGAUAUCUUUCUUUCUGGAGCAAUCCACCAUCACAGACUUCGAUAUGAAGAAAAAGAACAGCGUAACAAGUUUGAUAUAUUUCAAGUACAUUUUUUUUUCUAAUUGAAAUGUAUGUUUCUUGUUUCUGUUUUUUUGUUGUUUUUUUUGCGUUGUAAUUUUCUCCAUCUUCUUGAAAUCGGUAUGACAAAAUUCCCUCUUUACUUUUAUAUAUUUACAUAUAAGGAUUCUGACUAUGCUUAACACGCUAAAAUAAUUUCAGGAAUAAUUGUAAGAAAAAAAAUACCUUUAAAAUUUACUUACGUAUAAAAUUAAAGUAAAAUAGGCUACGACUUAACCUAAAAACAUUAGCUAAAGUGUAUGGAAUAAAAUUUCAAUAAAGUAUAAGUUAUAUCUAGUGUGUUGAAACACAUGACCAAAUCUAUUAGAGAUAGAGAACUGGCAAAAUCAAAUCACAAAAAA